This 273-nucleotide ribosomal RNA is filed under the name uncultured bacterium. Its description in RNAcentral is "partial 16S ribosomal RNA". It matches the Rfam family "Bacterial small subunit ribosomal RNA", at positions 523 to 796 of the family's 1533-position model. The record is from RNAcentral.
AUACGGAGGGUCCGAGCGUUAUCCGGAAUCAUUGGGUUUAAAGGGUCCGUAGGCGGGAAUCUAAGUCAGUGGUGAAAUCUUGCAGCUCAACUGUAAAAUUGCCAUUGAUACUGGAUUUCUUGAAUUAGUGUGAAGUGGUUAGAAUGUGUAGUGUAGCGGUGAAAUGCAUAGAUAUUACACAGAAUACCAAUUGCGAAGGCAGAUCACUAACACUAUAUUGACGCUGAGGGACGAAAGCGUGGGAGCGAACAGGAUUAGAAACCCUAGUAGUCC